Molecule: ribosomal RNA, 320 nt
Filed under: Pseudomyrmex aff. flavicornis-b MAS-2013
Lineage: Eukaryota; Metazoa; Arthropoda; Insecta; Hymenoptera; Formicidae
Description: eukaryotic LSU rRNA
Source: RNAcentral
CGAUACCGUGAAGAAAAGUUGAAAAGUACUUUGAAGAGUUAACGAGUACGUGAAACCGUUCAGAGGUAAACCUAAGAAACCCAAAAAAUCGAACGGGGAGAUUCAUCGUCAACGAAACUGGCUUCGCGUCGGUGGGCGAUAACCCCGCGGUGUGUCCUAAGCGGCACGCGCGUGCGGGCACGUNNCCGAACGCCGAUGUCCGGUUUUCGUCGUCGUGCACUUCUCUCCUAGUAGAACGUCGCGACUCGCUGUGUGUCGGUCACCGACCCGGGUGCGGUUACUGUCACGUCGCCCGUAAAAACGGCGCGCGGCAAACACCC